GACAGAGGUGCCGAGCGUUAAUCGGAAUUACUGGGCGUAAAGCGUGCGCAGGCGGUUCGUUGUGUCGGCGGUGAAAGCCCCGGGCUUAACCUGGGAAUGGCCGUUGAAACUGGCGAACUGGAGUGUGGCAGAGGGGGGUGGAAUUCCGCGUGUAGCAGUGAAAUGCGUAGAGAUGCGGAGGAACACCGAUGGCGAAGGCAGCCCCCUGGGCUAACACUGACGCUCAGGCACGAAAGCGUGGGGAGCAAACAGG
RNAcentral lists this ribosomal RNA (253 nucleotides) under uncultured bacterium. RNAcentral's name for it is "partial 16S ribosomal RNA". It matches the Rfam family "Bacterial small subunit ribosomal RNA", at positions 524 to 776 of the family's 1533-position model. The record is from RNAcentral.